This 3657-nucleotide long non-coding RNA is filed under the name Anneissia japonica. RNAcentral's name for it is "uncharacterized LOC117118011". The record is from RNAcentral. Lineage: Eukaryota; Metazoa; Echinodermata; Crinoidea; Comatulida; Comatulidae.
CACAUAAAUUAAAAGUUACCUAAAACUUUAUAGAAUAAUUAUAGCACCUAAUAGCUAGAGUAUUUAGGUACAAUUGCAUAUAAAACUAUCAUAAAAAAAAUGACAAUUAAUAUUUAUUGGUUUUACAUAUAUAUUAUAUAUAGCACACAAUAUAAAAAAUUCUCAAAUGCCAACUUAUUUAAAAAACAAAUUUCAAGAGCGCAAUACAACAUACAUGACCAGGUCUAAGGACAUACUUAAGGUACCCAAACCCAGCACAGAAUAUAAGAAAAGAAGUUUUACCUAUCAGGGAGCCAUUGUCUGGAAUAACCUAAACCUCAAUAUGAGAAUGGCCUCAAAUGUUCAAACUUUUAAAAAACUAUUAACAAAUAAUUGAAAGUUACUUGCAUAAGAUAAUACAGUAAUUGUUUUAUUUUGGUUUAUUUUACUUCUUUAUUUCUGUUUGUCUUGUAAUUGUUUUUGUAAUUUAAAUUUUGUUAUUAUGUACUUCAGAAACGGCCUUGUGAAGACACAUUUAAUUUGUGAUCAAGUUUUCCGUUUUCAAAUAAAGUCAUUAUUAUUACUGAAUCAUCCUUUUUUUACUUGAUUAGGUUUCAAAUCACAAAACCUCUUAUCACGGACCAGCAAUCUUGGUUCUUGAGAAAGACCUCUAUGAAUUAAUGAGAAUGUAUAGAAAACAAGUACAUCCAAUUGUCGGCGCUGCAUUUAGCCAGACAUUUUUCAAAACAAGCAGUGGACAGGAAAUCAGACCAUGUCAGGACUUAACAUGACUAUGGCAUAAUUAACUGCACCCACUUUCGUAAGCAAAUUGCUACUAUGUCAUGGCAACACAAUCAUCAAGAAAAAAACCGCAGGCUUAUUGCGGAGUAUAUGCAUCAUUCCAUCAAUACGCAAAAUGCGUAUUAUAAAGCUGCCCAACGGCAGGAAGAUGCCAUUGUUGCCAAGCAUCUAUUGAUAAAGAUAAAAUAAACUGAACCAGAUGUGCCAGGGCAUGAUGAAGGUGGAGAAGAGAAUAUUACCGACUCAGAAGUGGAAGCCACAACCACAGUGGAGGAUACCACAGAGGCCCCUGUGACUUUGCCGGUAGAGUAAUAACUGAAAAAAUUUUGUGUAGAUAACAGUGAAUUUUUGCAAGCUCACAAAAAUGAUAAUGAAUAUGAUUUACAUCAUGAUUUUUUUUUAGUCCAUCCCCUACAGUAGCAUAUUUUCCACUUUUGUUUUUAACACGUUACGCUAUAAAACAAAAAGAAAAUGCAUACUUUUGGAGUCCGUACUGAGCCCAAAAAAUCCGCAAUGAAAAUAUAACGUGUUUUUUUGUUUUAUGUAUGAAUUACAAUAUUGAACUGUUUUUGAGUUCUAAAGUUUUCAGCAGCUCGUAUGAGUUAUCAAAGAAUAUUUUGGAAAGAAUGUCAAAAAUGAAAAUUAUAUAUUUGUAAUUGUUACCAUUUUUGUGAAGUUGCCAAUUCUCCCUAAUGUCAGAGGUCUUAAAUCUUCAGUUAUUUAAAGGUUUUUAUAUUGCCUCCUGCCAAAAGAAAUAUUUAAUUUUGGUAUUUUCAAACUAUUUUCCUGAAAAUUAAUGUUAUUUAAAAACUCUCGCUUUUGGUACAAUCAGAUGUAGUAUCACUCGAUCAUUAACAAAUUUAUAUAUAAUAUAUAUAGAUAUAAAGAUACAAUAUUUCAGUCAUUAUAAACUUCAGUUUCAUGCAUAUUCAUUGUAAUAUACUGUACUUGUCUUAAUCAUUUAUACUUUAAAUUAGAAUGAAAUCUCCAAAAAGCCUGCCUUUAAUCAGGACAAUUAUUCAAAGUAUAGUAUAUCCAUGUACAGUAAUACAUAUUUCAGACUUAACUAAACUUAAGCUACGUUCACAUCAAGCCCGGAUUCCGGUCCGGAGUCCAGAGAAAAAAUUGUGAAAAAGGGGUUCAGUGGUAAAUAGGACCGUUCACAUCAAAUUCGUAAGAUUUCCAAUCCGGACUCCGGAUAUGAACCGAUGGAUCUGAGAGCCAUUUGUAUCCUGAAAUCGUUUUUUUUUUCUUGGACCAAUCAGCAAGAAGCUUGAUUGGUUCGGACCAAUCAAACGCACGCGUACUUAACCCGAACAGCCGUGUUCCGUGUGCGAUGUGGACGCAGCUUUCAAAAAAACGUAGUAACUCACGAUUUUUUAUCCAGGCUCCGGAGCGGAUCCGGGCUUGGUGUGAACGUAGCUUAAUACCAUGUUUUAACUGAGUAAAUAUAUACUUUAAAACAGAACUGUCGCCGGACCAGAUACGUGUUCUCGGACAUCGACAUUGGCUUACUGAAGACACUCUUUGGUGGCCUAAUGGAGGAAAAGAUCACUAAAGAAAAGGUCAGUAUUAACAUGGCUAUUUAAAUUAGCUCUUCAAACCAAUACCAUGAGGGUGUUUUUGAUUGCAGCAGAAACAUAUAAUAUAUAAAAUAUUCACCAGGAACUGAGCCUACAUAAAGAAGUAUUGUUCCCUGAAAAAGGAUAUGUUAAUUUCAAAGGAGCAAAUCAUUAUUUUUUUAAUUCUUUAUGAUUAUUUUGGUUUCAUUUGCAUGAGACUGUACAUCUUUAAACAUUGUAUCAAGUAAAUUCAUAAUGCAAGUUUGAUCAGUGGAAAUACACUGAGGCAAUAAGAUUCAAUAUUUAUUAUACAUGAUUUUUUCCCCCUAUGUACAGUAACUGUUAAUAAGAAAACUUAUGGAAUUAUUAAUUUCAGGUAAUGGCGAUCUACAAGAAAAACGUGGCAAUACAACACAUGAAAUGGAAAUGGAUAAAGUGAGAAAUUUACAGACAGAAGGAAAAAAAUAGUAACCAUGUGACUUAUUCAAAGGCCAAAAAAAAUUUGUGUUUGCCUUCAUUCACCCGCCCCUAACUCACUCAAAAAAUAGAGCAGGAAAAAAAGGGGUUUUUUAGCUUUCUUCUGUAAAAAUUUAAAAAAAAAGUGAGUGAAAAUACCUUUAUUUUUUGCCAGAUGCCCCACAAAUUAGUUACAGUUGUUCUAGGCCUCUGUGGGUUAUAUUUAUACCAUCAUAUGAGUAUUGAAAAAUAAAGAAAUAAAAAAUGUUUGCACCUGCCUCUAUUUAUCAUUUUCAAAAAAAAGAAGGGCAAGCAAACAAAUUGUUUUUACCCCCCAACCUCAAGCCCAUAAUUCGGUUUGGGUUAAAGCCAUAAUCACAACUGCUGCAUCUACCGCUCCAACAAAUCAUGAUAUAGGCCUAUUACUGGGUAGUUUAGAUAGGACUUUCGGAAUUUCCACAUAUGAGUCAUUAUAUACAGUACUCCUGUACUGGUUUCAGUAAAGCGUAACUUGGUGUGUAGCUUAAUUCCGCCAGUUAGUGUCAACCACAAUUUAAUAAAUACUAAUGGAACUGAAACAAAACCAUAAAGCAACAUGACAAUAAUUUUACAAUUAAGUCAAUGUUAGAUUAACAUAAAACUCCUAACAAUAAUUAUUCUGCAAAUUAAUAUAAUAACGAUCAACACCUGUAUGACACAAUAUACAGUAUGGUUAUUUCAUAUAGGUUAUGUAUAGUCGGGUCACCAUACUGUAAUUAUAGUGCAUUGGUAAACAAGUUACUGUCUACGUCUCUAAAUUGAAUAUCACUUACUAGUAUUUAGGUUAUAUGUCUAAAAAUAAAUAAAAAUCGUGGUAUAU